RNAcentral lists this ribosomal RNA (998 nucleotides) under Flavobacterium sp. Norgv15. RNAcentral describes it as "bacterial SSU rRNA". It matches the Rfam family "Bacterial small subunit ribosomal RNA", at positions 53 to 1058 of the family's 1533-position model. Lineage: Bacteria; Pseudomonadati; Bacteroidota; Flavobacteriia; Flavobacteriales; Flavobacteriaceae. The record is from RNAcentral.
CCAUGCAAGUCGAGGGGUAUAGUUCUUCGGAACUAGAGACCGGCGCACGGGUGCGUAACGCGUAUGCAAUCUACCUUGUACAGAGGGAUAGCCCAGAGAAAUUUGGAUUAAUACCUCAUAGUGUUAUUGAAUGGCAUCAUUUAAUAACUAAAGUUCUAACGGUACAAGAUGAGCAUGCGUCCCAUUAGUUAGUUGGUAAGGUAACGGCUUACCAAGACAAUGAUGGGUAGGGGUCCUGAGAGGGAGAUCCCCCACACUGGUACUGAGACACGGACCAGACUCCUACGGGAGGCAGCAGUGAGGAAUAUUGGACAAUGGGCGCAAGCCUGAUCCAGCCAUGCCGCGUGCAGGAUGACUGCCCUAUGGGUUGUAAACUGCUUUUAUACAGGAAGAAACACUGCUACGUGUAGCAGCUUGACGGUACUGUAAGAAUAAGGAUCGGCUAACUCCGUGCCAGCAGCCGCGGUAAUACGGAGGAUCCAAGCGUUAUCCGGAAUCAUUGGGUUUAAAGGGUCCGUAGGCGGCCUUAUAAGUCAGUGGUGAAAUCUCCUAGCUCAACUAGGAAACUGCCAUUGAUACUGUAGGGCUUGAAUUUUUAGGAAGUAACUAGAAUAUGUAGUGUAGCGGUGAAAUGCUUAGAUAUUACAUGGAAUACCAAUUGCGAAGGCAGGUUACUACUAAUGGAUUGACGCUGAUGGACGAAAGCGUGGGUAGCGAACAGGAUUAGAUACCCUGGUAGUCCACGCCGUAAACGAUGGAUACUAGCUGUUCGGUCUUCGGACUGAGUGGCUAAGCGAAAGUGAUAAGUAUCCCACCUGGGGAGUACGCACGCAAGUGUGAAACUCAAAGGAAUUGACGGGGGCCCGCACAAGCGGUGGAGCAUGUGGUUUAAUUCGAUGAUACGCGAGGAACCUUACCAGGGCUUAAAUGGGAGACGACAGGACUGGAAACAGUUUUUUCUUCGGACGUCUUUCAAGGUGCUGCAUGGUUGUCGUCAG